RNAcentral lists this ribosomal RNA (557 nucleotides) under uncultured bacterium. RNAcentral's name for it is "bacterial SSU rRNA". It matches the Rfam family "Bacterial small subunit ribosomal RNA", at positions 57 to 611 of the family's 1533-position model. The record is from RNAcentral.
GCAAGUCGAACGGUAACAUUUCUAGCUUGCUAGAAGAUGACGAGUGGCGGACGGGUGAGUAAUGCUUGGGAACUUGCCUUUGCGAGGGGGAUAACAGUUGGAAACGACUGCUAAUACCGCAUAAUGUCUUCGGACCAAACGGGGCUCCGGCUCCGGCGCAAAGAGAGGCCCAAGUGAGAUUAGCUAGUUGGUAAGGUAACGGCUUACCAAGGCGACGAUCUCUAGCUGUUCUGAGAGGAGGAUCAGCCACACUGGGACUGAGACACGGCCCAGACUCCUACGGGAGGCAGCAGUGGGGAAUAUUGCACAAUGGGGGGAACCCUGAUGCAGCCAUGCCGCGUGUGUGAAGAAGGCCUUCGGGUUGUAAAGCACUUUCAGUUGUGAGGAAAAGUUAGUAGUUAAUACCUGCUAGCCGUGACGUUAACAACAGAAGAAGCACCGGCUAACUCCGUGCCAGCAGCCGCGGUAAUACGGAGGGUGCGAGCGUUAAUCGGAAUUACUGGGCGUAAAGCGCACGCAGGCGGUUUGUUAAGCUAGAUGUGAAAGCCCCGGGCUCA